GAAGAAUUAUAUGACUUAAUAUGCUCAAGACAGAAAUCAAUCAAAAAUAAUAGAAAAAAAUCUGAAAUUUGUUUACUGAACCAAGCUGAAAAAAUGAAAUUUAGGUCUAUCCAUAAGUUCCCCCAGCCAACAUAUGGAGACAGUGUGAGAGUCUCUUUACCGGAUGUCGACAGAGGACGAGCAGACCCGAGAAAUAUUAUAUUUGCAGUUGUGUCUAUUGAGGAUGGGCAAUAUUAUAAACUUGGCAAUAAAUAUGGUACUUAGCCACAAUUAUACACCAGAAAUCAGUUUGGUGUUUGUCCGUUAUCUUUAAUACAGCUUGAUGAGGUGUUACAUGUAGAAAAAUCAUUGAGGGAAAUUGCGAGUCAAAUGUCAAGGAUAUAAAAGGUGUUCAUGUAAGGGGAAAUGUAACACCAAUCGAUGUAAAUGUAAAGCAUCUAGCAUUUUGUGUAAUUCAAAAUGUCACGGAAGCAUGCCGUGUAAUAAUAAAGGAUAACACAUUAUGUAUCAUAAGUAGGUUAGGUUGUUAAAAAUUAAAAUUAAACUCAUAUUAAUA
Long non-coding RNA from Acyrthosiphon pisum (pea aphid), 556 nucleotides. RefSeq lists it as uncharacterized. Lineage: Eukaryota; Metazoa; Arthropoda; Insecta; Hemiptera; Aphididae. The transcript has 2 exons. The record is from RefSeq and is a predicted model, not a curated record.